RNAcentral lists this long non-coding RNA (566 nucleotides) under Anser brachyrhynchus (Pink-footed goose). Its description in RNAcentral is "lncRNA (ENSABRG00000000043.1)". Lineage: Eukaryota; Metazoa; Chordata; Aves; Anseriformes; Anatidae. The record is from RNAcentral.
GGAUGAGGAUUGGGGAUGGGGGCAGGGCAGGGGACACGGAAGGGGAUGGGGUGACGGGGACAGGGGGGCAGGGACAGGGCAGGGGAUGAGGAUUGGGGAUUGGGACAAGGAAGGGGACAGGGUGAUGGGGACAAGGAUGGGGGACAAGGAAGGGGACGAGGAUUGGGGAUGGGGACAGGGUGACAGGGACAAGAAUGGGGGACAGGGCAGGGGACAAGGGUGGGGACGGGGAUGGUGGCGGGGACAGGGCAGGGGAUGAGGAUUGGGAAUGGGGACAGGGCAGGGGACAGGGGGACGGGGACAAGGAUGGGGACAGGGCAGGGGACAAGGAUGGGGGACGGGGAUGGGGACAGGGCUGGGGGACGAGGAAGAGGACGGGGAUGAUGGCAAGGAUGGGGACGGGGAUAGGGACAAGGUUGGGGAUGGGGACAGGGCAGGGGACAAGGACUCGGACAGGGGGACGGGGACAGAGCAGGGGACAAGGAUGGAGACGGGGGGAUGAGGACGGGGACAGGGGGAUGGGGACAAGGAUGGGGACGGGGACAGGACAGGGGACAAGGACUUGA